This 352-nucleotide ribosomal RNA is filed under the name uncultured bacterium. RNAcentral describes it as "bacterial SSU rRNA". It matches the Rfam family "Bacterial small subunit ribosomal RNA", at positions 8 to 349 of the family's 1533-position model. The record is from RNAcentral.
AGAGUUUGAUCCUGGCUCAGGAUGAACGCUAGCUACAGGCUUAACACAUGCAAGUCGAGGGGAAACGACAUCGAAAGCUUGCUUUUGAUGGGCGUCGACCGGCGCACGGGUGAGUAACGCGUAUCCAACCUGCCCACCACUUGGGGAUAACCUUGCGAAAGUAAGACUAAUACCCAAUGACGUCUCUAGAAGACAUCUGAAGGAGAUUAAAGAUUUAUCGGUGAUGGAUGGGGAUGCGUCUGAUUAGCUUGUUGGCGGGGUAACGGCCACCAAGGCGACGAUCAGUAGGGGUUCUGAAAGGAAGGUCCCCCAGAUUGGAACUGAGACACGGUCCAAAACUCCUACGGGAGCA